RNAcentral lists this ribosomal RNA (253 nucleotides) under uncultured bacterium. RNAcentral's name for it is "partial 16S ribosomal RNA". It matches the Rfam family "Bacterial small subunit ribosomal RNA", at positions 524 to 776 of the family's 1533-position model. The record is from RNAcentral.
GACGUAGGGUGCAAGCGUUGUCCGGAUUUACUGGGCGUAAAGGGCGCGUAGGCGGCGCAACAAGUCACUUGUGAAAUCUCCGGGCUUAACCCGGAGCGGCCAAGUGAUACUGUCGUGCUAGAGUGCGGAAGGGGCUACUGGAAUUCUCGGUGUAGCGGUGAAAUGCGUAGAUAUCGAGAGGAACACCUGCGGCGAAGGCGGGUAGCUGGGCCGACACUGACGCUGAGGCGCGAAAGCCAGGGGAGCGAACGGG